Molecule: ribosomal RNA, 274 nt
Filed under: uncultured bacterium
Lineage: Bacteria
Description: partial 16S ribosomal RNA
Rfam family: Bacterial small subunit ribosomal RNA
Source: RNAcentral
AUACAGAGGGUGCGAGCGUUAAUCGGAAUUACUGGGCGUAAAGCGCGCGUAGGCGGCUACUUAAGUCAGACGUGAAAUCCCCGGGCUCAACCUGGGAACUGCAUCUGAUACUGGGUAGCUAGAGUUUAGGAGAGGGAAGUAGAAUUUCAGGUGUAGCGGUGAAAUGCAUAGAGAUCUGAAGGAAUACCAGUGGCGAAGGCGGCUUCCUGGCCUAAAACUGACGCUGAGGUGCGAAAGCGUGGGUAGCAAACGGGAUUAGAUACCCCAGUAGUCC